Molecule: ribosomal RNA, 507 nt
Filed under: Triticum aestivum (bread wheat)
Lineage: Eukaryota; Viridiplantae; Streptophyta; Magnoliopsida; Poales; Poaceae
Description: partial small subunit ribosomal RNA
Source: RNAcentral
AUGUCCGGAGCAGGAGGCAAGUGGAUGGUCUCCUCCGUCACGGAGGAGAACAUCAAAAAGUUACGGGAAGUCGGAUACCUGGCUGCGGAUAUCGCGUGCCGUCUGCCAAAUGCGGGGCAUAUCGUCCCAAUGCCCGAACCCCAUGAGAUGGUAGUUUUUCUUACCCAUUUUAUCCGCGGACUGGGAUUUCCCCUCCACCCGUUUGUCUACGAGCUCAUGUUCUACUAUGGGCUGGAUUUUCAUGAUCUAGCCCCCAACUUCAUCCUCAACAUCUCGGUGUUUAUCGUCGUGUGCGAGGCCUUCCUCCGUAUCAGGCCCCACUUCGGCCUAUGGCUGAAAACCUUCAAUGUCAAACCAAAGGUGGUGGGUGGCCAGCAAGCAGAGUGCGGAGGCUCCAUGGUGGGCAAGAUGCCUAAUGUCACCUGGCUCGAGGGCACCUAUGUGGAUACCAUAAAGGUGUGGAAUUCGGGGUGGUUCUACAUCAUCGAGCCGCGCGACUCCAACUAG